Molecule: ribosomal RNA, 301 nt
Filed under: uncultured bacterium
Lineage: Bacteria
Description: partial 16S ribosomal RNA
Rfam family: Bacterial small subunit ribosomal RNA
Source: RNAcentral
CAGUAGCCGCGGGAAAACGAAGGGUGCAAGCGUUAAUCGGAAUUACUGGGCGUAAAGCGCACGCAGGCGGUCUGUCAAGUCAGAUGUGAAAUCCCCGGGCUUAACCUGGGAACUGCAUUUGAAACUGGCAGGCUAGAGUCUUGUAGAGGGGGGUAGAAUUCCAGGUGUAGCGGUGAAAUGCGUAGAGAUCUGGAGGAAUACCGGUGGCGAAGGCGGCCCCCUGGACAAAGACUGACGCUCAUGCACGAAAGCGUGGGGAGCAAACAGGAUUAGAUACCCCGGUAGUCCCUGUCUCUUAUAA